RNAcentral lists this signal recognition particle RNA (99 nucleotides) under Flavobacteriales bacterium. RNAcentral's name for it is "signal recognition particle sRNA small type". It matches the Rfam family "Bacteroidales small SRP". Rfam says of the family: The non-coding component of the signal recognition particle in Bacteroides The record is from RNAcentral. Lineage: Bacteria; Pseudomonadati; Bacteroidota; Flavobacteriia; Flavobacteriales.
GGGUCAGUCGUGCACGAUCAGCUCCCAUUUAAUCCCCCAGGUCUGGAAGGAAGCAAGGGUCGAUGGUUGUAGCGGUGCGAUGCAUUAAGCUGGCCCGUU